RNAcentral lists this ribosomal RNA (329 nucleotides) under uncultured eukaryote. Its description in RNAcentral is "partial 18S ribosomal RNA". It matches the Rfam family "Eukaryotic small subunit ribosomal RNA", at positions 1470 to 1796 of the family's 1831-position model. The record is from RNAcentral.
CCCUUAGAUGUUCUGGGCCGCACGCGCGCUACACUGAUGCAUUCAACGAGUCUAAAACCUGCUCUGAUAGGGGUGGGUAAUCUUUUGAAUGUGCAUCGUGAUUGGGAUAGAUGAUUGCAAUUUUUCAUCUUCAACGAGGAAUACCUAGUAAACGCAAGUCAUCAGCUUGCAUUGAUUACGUCCCUGCCCUUUGUACACACCGCCCGUCGCUCCUACCGAUUGAAUGAUCCGAUGAAUAUCAUGGAUUGAGGAUGCAAGCAGGUUCGCCUGUCUUCAUCUUCGAGAAGUGAAGUAAAUCUUAUCAUUUAGAGGAAGGAGAAGUCGUAACA